AACACACAAAGCGCACUUCAAAUGUGCACUACACAAUUUAACUAGUUUAUUUGAUCAUUGGAAGUCAGACUACCCAGUCCGCGAGUAAAAACGAAGAAAAGUUCUACCAGUUGGAAUAUUUUCAUUAUAGCAAGAUUAAUUGUCUUUCGUGAGGUGCUAACAUCGAAAUUUAAAAAAAUUCAAUUCAGUUCGUUCAGAAAAGUUCGUUUUGUUAGCAGAGAAAAAGGAGUUCAGCUGCUUCAGCGCAUUUAACUAUUCGAAUUAGUCCGAUUUCGCUUGGAUUGUUUUUAUUGGAAAUUUUGCAAAAUGGUCGCUUCAUUAAAUGCUUGCCAAAACGGCAUAGUAAGUUCCGCAGUCGGAGGCGCCGCUAAUGGAGUAAUCACCAAUGGCACAGUCAAUGCAACUAACGUAAGCAAGACUUUGGCCAAGGGCAAAUACACUUUGGUGGGCAUCGAUAUAGACACAACGGGACGUCGUCUCAUCGAUGAAAUCGUCCAGUUGGCCGCAUAUACGCCAAAAGAUCAUUUUGAACAAUAUAUUAUGCCAUACAUGAACUUGAAUCCUGCCGCUCGUCAGCGUCACCAAGUGCGUGUGAUCUCAAUCGGAUUCUAUCGUAUGCUGAAAUCAAUGCAAACAUAUAAGAUUAUCAAGUCUAAAUCGGAAAUCGCUGCCUUGAAAGAUUUUCUUGAUUGGCUGGAAGCGCUUAAAGCCAAAGAUGCAGCAUCGCAAGGUAUCAUUCUAGUCUAUCAUGAGGAACGCAAAUUCAUUCCAUAUAUGAUUUUGGAAUCGCUUAAAAAGUACAACUUGCUGGAUAGGUUCCUUAACACUGUCAAAUCUUUCGCUAAUGGUUUUAAUUUGGCCAAAACCAAUGCCAAUGAGUCGUUGCAACACUAUACAUUGCGUAAGCUUUCCAAAGUCUUGAGCGCAAAAACACACGAGAUAAACAAUAAUGCUUCGGAUGGCGAAGCAAAUAACAAUGUUAGCUCAACGACUGAAACAGGCGAGAAUCAGAGCCCUCAAAAGCCACUAAACAAGGGUGCUCCAGUACACGAGCGUGAGUUGUUUGACGGCAAUGCUAGUGUGCGUGCUAAGCUUGCGUAUGAAGUAGCACUGCAGUUGAGCAACCAAGAACAAAAAGUGCCCAUUGAAUCGUCUGCUGCAUUGGAGAAGUUGCUCAGCGCAUUGCAAUCGUACGCGCAACCCAUCGAAUGCGAUUUGAAUGAACUACAGACUCAAAAUGAGAAUUUGGAGCGUCAAAAUUCAUUCCGUCCGGUGUUUUUGAACUAUUUCAAAACAACACUCUACCAUCGCGUGCGUGCUGUCAAAUUUCGCAUUAUACUUGCCGAACAGGGUUACGACCUGCAAACGCUGAAUGCAAUUUGGGGUGAGAAACAGAAAGAGGGUCUCUCCGAAAUCAUGCAAGUCAUUGAGGAGCUCAAGGCUGAAGAUAAGGCGGAGUUGGCCGAUUUAUUUGACAGUUACUUCGAUCCAGCAAAAACGACUAUUAAGCCGAUUGUUAAGAACAAUAAUCGUCGCCGAAAUAGACGCGGAGUACGCAACAUAAAAAACGACGGCAGCAAUAGUGCUCGUCCGUGUAGCGAACAAGGCGCAGGCGGUGACAAACAAGUUGCAGCCGGCUUGCUGCCCGAUUCCACAACAAAAUCUCCAUCUCCGCCAAACGGUGGCAAGCCUCAGCGCGGUAAGCGUAACCCACGCUCCCGCAAUAACUCCUUAAAAGCACAGCUACAAAGCGCCGUCGACACAAACAACAUAACGGCAACAGUCACCAAUUAAACAUCAAUGUUGAGAGAAAUGAAUUCUAGACAGACGCUGUUGCAACAAAAAAAAAGUAAUAAUUCUAACAAUAUAUUUAACCAACUUUCAGCUCAAAUUUAAUACUAAAGAUAGCUUCACUUGCAACAAAAGUUUGGUUGGUGUAUUGCAGUUGUGUUAAAUAGAAAAACAUAUCAACUCACUAAAAAUAAACGAGGAGGUACGAGGAAGUUAAUAGAAAGAGAUAAUAAAUCAAGGAAAUGAAACGCUUUCGCCGGUUCCGUAAACUCCUUGCUCAAAAUUUCUGUGAAUCAAAAAUUUUAAAUGUGUGUUUAGGAUAAUUAACAAGUUUUUUAGAAGAAAUCAAAUGAAAGAGACUCGACAUUUGAAAUGCAACAACAUCUUAUAUACACUGAGUUUGUGAGAUUUAUGCCUUCAAUGCCAGUGAACAGUAUUGAUUUGCCGCAACAAUACAAGUAAAAAUUAUUGAAUUAAACAUUAGACUUAUAUAAAUACAAAUAUCUGUGAUCGCCCCAAGCAAACGUGAUCAAAUCGAUGUAAGAUCAGAGCGAAACUAUUUAAUUUCGCUUUGAAAUAACCAAAAAUACCGUCCAAUCAAAUAGGGAUUUGCAGCAAACAACUGCCUGCUCAACAUCAUUAAGCCACCAGCUGUGGAGAUGGGAGUAAUUUUUCGUUUUUAGUUUAAUACAAACCUCAUUUAGUUGAAAGACGGGAGGAAGAAAAUACUUUUGAUUUAUUGUUAAACACACAGCAUUUCUUAUUAAGUACAAUAACGAGUUGUUGCUACAUAAGAACUACUUAAACAUUGUACAACAAACAAGGAAUCUCAAAGCUGAUCUUUACCUAGGCUGCUCAAGCAAUAUAGCGGCGUUAUAUUGACACUCGCUAGAUUCCACUUUCAUCUUAAUUUAAAAGAGCUUCAUACAAGAAAAAUUAAAAAAAAAUAACAAAACAAAAACAACUAAACUGUUUACCUCAACUUAAAAAAAAUAAGUAAUUGCUAAAAUUGAAAAUGAUGAAAUAAACAAACUUAUAUACUAUGUAGAUCAAAUCCCUCACGCAAGCGCCAAUAACAACAUAUUUCUACAUAAUAGGCAUAGCAGAUUUGCAUGUGCCCCUUUUGUUCCUGUAUUCGUAUUGAAAUGCAUAUAAAACGCAAAUGUAAUUCUUUUUGCACAUACUGAAAUGUUUUGCAAUUUCCCACAGAAUUUUCUUAAUGCAUACAACAUUAAACCGCCCGAGUUCUAUUUACAAAACUAAAUAAUCGUAAAUCUUUUUGUAUUGUUUCUGUUUAAAAAAGAAAAUUUGAUGAAACUUUGUUGUGACUUCUUGUACUUUAUUUGAAAUAAAAAUUCAAAAAUCAGUUUUAAUCAAA
Molecule: RNA transcript, 3169 nt
Organism: Zeugodacus cucurbitae (melon fly)
Lineage: Eukaryota; Metazoa; Arthropoda; Insecta; Diptera; Tephritidae
Gene: exu
Gene name: maternal protein exuperantia
Exons: 7
Source: RefSeq, a predicted model, not a curated record